RNAcentral lists this ribosomal RNA (492 nucleotides) under uncultured bacterium. RNAcentral's name for it is "partial 16S ribosomal RNA". It matches the Rfam family "Bacterial small subunit ribosomal RNA", at positions 29 to 507 of the family's 1533-position model. The record is from RNAcentral.
AGUGAACGCUGGCGGUAGGCCUAACACAUGCAAGUCGAACGGCAGCACAGUAAGAGCUUGCUCUUACGGGUGGCGAGUGGCGGACGGGUGAGGAAUACAUCGGCAUCUACUUUUUCGUGGGGGAUAACGUAGGGAAACUUACGCUAAUACCGCAUACGACCUACGGGUGAAAGCAGGGGAUCUUCGGACCUUGCGCGAUUGAAUGAGCCGAUGUCGGAUUAGCUAGUUGGCGGGGUAAAGGCCCACCAAGGCGACGAUCCGUAGCUGGUCUGAGAGGAUGAUCAGCCACACUGGAACUGAGACACGGUCCAGACUCCUACAGGAGGCAGCAGUGGGGAAUAUUGGACAAUGGGCGCAAGCCUGAUCCAGCCAUACCGCGUGGGUGAAGAAGGCCUUCGGGUUGUAAAGCCCUUUUGUUGGGAAAGAAAAGCAGCAGGUUAAUACCCCGCUGUUCUGACGGUACCCAAAGAAUAAGCACCGGCUAACUUCGUG